AAUCUCUUUACAAAGCUACAUAAUGCAGCAGAGUCAGCUAAGAACGAGUUAUAAACAAAGAAGCUAUUCAGCUGUCAAAGCAAUUUUCAGCUAUAUUAAAACAGAAUAGGAUGGGAUGGAUUCUGCCAAGCCUUCUGCUGCAUGCUGUCCCGGGAAGCCGGUGGCAUUGCAUGUGUGUAAAUGGCGUGGCGAGAGGGAGUGAGUGCGUGCAUGGGCAGCCGCCCACGUGAACACAUGUACACACACGUGCACAGGAUAAUCGCCCAUCGCCUUCCUCAGCUCAUGUUAGAAAUUGUAAAAUGCUUACUUAAAUUGCAUUUUCUGUCUGCACUUGGGGAUGUCACCACGUUCUGUCCAUUCUGAUGACGUGUUUUGUUUCCAUAGAAACCAAUGUACUUUGGAGAGGGAAAAGCAGAAGCAGACUGAGAAAAGCAGAAAAAUCAAGCAGAAUAAGAGAAGUGUGUGGUGUGAAUAGAUCAUUUGGGUCAUGGGGCUUUUAACAAAGUGACUUAUGCCUUAAGGUGGCGAGAUGCCUUAUUUAUUUGUGGGAUAUAAGGUCUUAACAUGAUGGACCCCAAGAGGUAGUCCGUGACCAGGCCAGCUCUGUUUCACACACAUCCUUUUCUGCUGUGACCUAGGAGACGACUAGGAGUAGAUGUGAGGAUAGUAGGAAUUUCAGCAGCUAAAGGCCACCUAAAGCACCCCUGUGCAGGCAUAAACUCGACUUGCAAGUCCUUGUCGCUAGAGCUAUGCGGUGCUAAUGAGGGUCCCUCAGCUGGUAUCUGACCAGCUGGAAAAAGGAUGGACCACUAUAGCCUAGAGCAUUAGCUGUUUCACCACCCAGGGCUGAAGGCCAGGAGGAGAAACAGAAUCCUAUAUGUGUGUAUCCUAUAUGUGUAAAUGCUGUUGGUAACAGAGCAAUAUUCCAGUUCUGUCUGUGCAUAUUCUUUGGUACGUGUUUCUCCUGUCUUCCUCUUUUGUACUUGCCAGUCAUAUACUCUGUAAUUUUGCUUUCAGAGUCUGCCUUAGAAGAGACCUAUGCCAUUUUUGCCUGGAGCUGAAUAACUAUUAAGUUGUGCCCCUGCUGGCUGCUUGCUUGAAGGUAGGGAUGUGCCAACAAACCCCGCUUCCCAGGGGCUUUUUGGCAGAGCACGCUCGAUUUUCUGCUGUGUUCUUCAUGAGAAGCUACUCUUGGUCACAUACGGCCCAUGUACGAGGGACCUGAGCCAACAAAAAUUACCAGGACCUACUGCAUUCUUCAAAGCUUAGGGCACCAGAGUAUGAAUCGACAGCAAACACCCUAAUCCCUUACCAACACAUCGGGUGGCAAAACCCACAGCAGUUGCCUGUAGUGUUGAUGUGAUUCAAGCCCAUACUGUUUAAUUUAUCUUUGUGCACCCAAAGUCAUGAUAUCUAACAGUACCGACAGUUAAGAGUCUCAUUUGCUGAUUCAUCAACAAAUUAUAAGAAUAAAAAGAAAACUAUGUGAAGAGAAAGAUGAUUUUGUUGAGCAGCUCUAAUCUUGGCUGUUUUCCUUGGCUUUAAACUUUGAAUUUUACCAGUUAUAUGUUAAAUGCUCUGCUUCACUUCUUUGUAUCCAGACAGAAAGAAAUGGUUUGUAAAAAAUGUGCUAUGUGGGUAAUGUAGAAUUUUUCUCCUCUGCGGAAUCCAUCAGUGAGGAUGUUUACUAUGUAUUUAUGAGGUCCCUUGCAGAUCUUUAGACUAGGCUUUCAGAUGUUCAUUCUCUUGGACUUUUUAUUGCUAACAUUUAUUCUUCUUUUAAUGGUGAGCUCUCAGAAGAAUGCAGAAGGCUCGGUUCAAACUCCAGGCAAAUCUUACAUCACUUUUGGCUUGCAACCGGGCUCCACACAGGACUCAGCAAGAUUUCAUUCAGCCUUUUCUAUAGUGUUGGUUACAAUUCUCGAGGGGGGCAGGGAAAAUUACUUUUGGCUUUAAUGUUCUGUAUUAGUUAGUCUGUGAUUUGCUUGUUCCAGAGGCUGGAUAUGAUCUUUGAUACUAUAUUAUUCUGUAAAGUAAUGCUGAGUGCAAGAGAGAGUGACAGAGCAUCUCUCAUGCUACCCCUGAUUCAUUGCAUGUACUUCUGCGAGGCAAUGAAAUACUUUGGUCAUGUCAAAACUGCUAAUUUCUAGAUAGUAGCUAGCUAAUAUCUAAAUACUAGAUAUUACGUGACAAGUUUGAAGGCCAGAAGGUAAUGUUCAGGGUUGAUGUCUGUACUCAGAGAAAUAAUCUUCUGGAAGCCAAUGUAACUUUACGUGCGAGUGAGGAGAAUUUACAUGACUGUAAACUCAAGAAUGGGCUGUUAUUCAAGUACAAGAAUAAAUGAGAAAGGUUAAAAAAACUUUUUUAAAAAGUCUGUGCAAUCCAAGUGUACUGUUUAUCAUCAUGUUGUACCAAAACAAAAUUUGUGAUGUACUUUGACUUGGGAUUUUCCAGAGUCAUUGAUGCAGUGCUGGUUUUCAUCCUCUCUCGUCUUGCUGUUACCUGACUUCCCAGGCUUUGGAAUUUUUAUCCUAAUUUUCCUCUUUUGCUUUUAAUGAAAUAAUAAAAUUAGUGUUUUGACCUUGGAGUCUUCUCCCACACUAGAGAAUUUAAAAUUGCUAGGUGAGAGUCAGCAGGAGAUUAUGAUACUCUGUCUAAUUUCCUUAGAAAUGUUAUAGCUGAAGUAUUUAUAAUAACAAGGCUUUGUUGCUGGAGCCUCUGAAUGCCAAGACUGAAAGAGGUAACUGAACCAGCAAGUUCUGGAAAUAUUUCCUAGAUAGAAACUCAGGAGGAAGAAGAGGAGCAGGGGAACACCAGCAAUGUAAUCAUAUAACUGAGCAUGUACUUUUCAGCAAAAGAAUUUCCUUGUCAAGUUUAGUGUUUUUUCUUUUGACAAAUUGCUUGUGUAGAAACUGAAGUUUUUCAGUCUCUGUGCUGUUCCAAAUUUUAAGCUUUUGGUUUUCUUGAUGUGGUUAUUUUUUUGACAUCGCUUAGUGGUGAUGAGUCCAUGUUCAUGUGGUGUGAUUGGUCAGCUCAGUCAUGCUUAAUGACAAGCCUUAUAAACUACAUUUGACUCAGGAAAGUAUCAUUUGGUUGUUGGAAGGAGAGUCUGACGCAUUAGUCAGUCAGUGAAAUUUACUUCUAAUCAAAAAGUUUUGCCGUGGUAGGAGUCAACAAGACUCAAACGAUGCACGAUACUCCUGCUCGUUUGCUUUCCAGGCUGAAUCUUGCACAUAAUGUGUCUUGAGAAUGACAGCCGUGAGCAAAUUUUUAGUCACGUGGCUAUUCUCAAAAGUAACUAAAAUUGGAUGCAAGGGAAGAUCCAUCUGAUAAUGAUCCAACAUAUUCACACAUAUUUUCUCACUAUUUCUUUACCACUUGUCAGUUGUCCCUUCUUCUAUUCCCUUUUAUUUCUUCUUAGGUUUCUGUUUUGAUGAUGCCUGGUUUGUUCCCAGAACUAAUCUUUGAAUUUAUAGUGGAUGAUUUUGAAUAUUGAUGAAUCUACAUAUAUAAAUGUAGAUAUAUAAAAUGGUUGCUUUUUUAGGGAGGUUGAUUUCUUUUGCUAAGCAAGAGAGCAGACCUGGAUUACAGAAGUUGCAGGCAUGUUUUUGAUCAGUCAAUCUGUGCAUUUGCACCAAACAACCUUGUAAUUCAUGCUGUGAUGCACCACUUGAGGCUUGGCCUGAGUUGGAUGAUGGUUGCCUUACAUUGCAAUGGUGAGAUGUUUCCCUUCUCCUAAGAGAAUUUGGGGUAUGUUCAUUGAUUGGUUUUGUUAAAUAGUUCUGUUUUUCCAUAAGAUCUUUAUCACUGGGUAGCUCCUUCUUUAAAAACCUGGUGCCAUCUCCCAAAACAUUACCUCUGUAGUAUCUGGCAGUUAGAUUAAAAGCAGGUUACAGUACAGCUUGUUUAGUAUGAACAUUUGUAAGUCAGCUGUUGAGAGAAGUUUCCCUGAACAUACAAAACCUGUGACGUACACGUUGUGUUUCAUCAGGAGGUGUUUUUGUUAAAGAAUUGCCAGAGACAACAUAAAAAUUAAUCUUGGUUAUAAUGUAAUCCUGAUACAAAAUGCACCGUUUCUUCUUGGCAAAUGAAGUGUUUGGCACGAGCAAGUAUUUACAUUUACAUUAUUUUUAAACUUCUGUGUGUGCUGGAAGGUAGAGUGAAAUAUUUCCUAGAUGGCCAGACUAUUCCUAAGAAAAGAUACAUCACAGAGGAGAAAUUCAGAAACAUUCUGUUUCAAAGGAUAUUACAUGAUCAAUAAAAUUACACUAGGGUUUUAGUGGAUGUCCGGAGCACAUCUUUCAUUGUCUUUACAUAGGCUACACCUCAAUUUUGUUUAUGUUUUAUUUCAGAGCUUUCCAAUUUUCUAUUGUAUCAGCAGUUGCAUGAGCUACCUUUCCUUGUGCUCCUGCUUUGACAUAUUCCUAUACAUCCAUGUUCUAAAGAGAUUUUUUUUUCUCUGUGCACAAGAAAAAGUGAUAGAAGUUACUGUUGGUUAACUUAUUACACUCUGAUGCUCUCUAUCUUAGCUCAAAUCACUAAGUAAAUAUAAAUAGUAUUUAUAUGUCAUACCUCUUCAUAACUGAAUAUGCAUAUUACUUCCACUUUUCCUGUGUUCUUGGCACUUGAGUGAGGAGAAGUCAGAAAACACCAAGAGAAUGUUGGCGUAUGUGAAAAAACUUGCAUGAACCUUGAUUCCAGGAAGAACAUACAUACAUGCUGAUAAACAGCUCCUUAUCUAAGAAAUACUUAAGAGAGUGUUUCUUAAAUGAGAGUGCUUCUCUGAAAAUGAGCAUUUGGUUGCUGGGUUGUUGGUUUUGUUUUUUUUUUAAUAUUUCAACACCCUGCUGAUAGUGUUGUGAAAUCCUUGCUGAGCCUUAGCCAAUUAACUGAAUAAACUUUUACUUGCUUAAUGAUUUUAUAACUCUUCUAUGUGAGAUAAACUUUCCAUUUGUUCAUUUAAUUUCUCUCCUGCGUUUUGUGUACAAAUACUAGCUAAUCUCACAGAGACUCCAAGUCUUUGAGACUUAAGUUCUUGCAAAGUUACCAAAGACAGCAAUCAGAACACGUUUGGACACUUAACAAAGUUCUCAUAAUGUUUUUCACUGAUAUUUUUAGUAUUAUUAAAGAUAAUUACUGUUGUA
Molecule: long non-coding RNA, 5144 nt
Organism: Harpia harpyja (harpy eagle)
Lineage: Eukaryota; Metazoa; Chordata; Aves; Accipitriformes; Accipitridae
Exons: 2
Source: RefSeq, a predicted model, not a curated record